AUGCGUUGUUGGGUAGGGGAGCGUUCUGUAAGCCUGCGAAGGUGUGCUGUGAGGCAUGCUGGAGGUAUCAGAAGUGCGAAUGCUGACAUAAGUAACGAUAAAGCGGGUGAAAAGCCCGCUCGCCGGAAGACCAAGGGUUCCUGUCCAACGUUAAUCGGGGCAGGGUGAGUCGACCCCUAAGGCGAGGCCGAAAGGCGUAGUCGAUGGGAAACAGGUUAAUAUUCCUGUACUUGGUGUUACUGCGAAGGGGGGACGGAGAAGGCUAUGUUGGCCGGGCGACGGUUGUCCCGGUUUAAGCGUGUAGGCUGGUUUUCCAGGCAAAUCCGGAAAAUCAAGGCUGAGGCGUGAUGACGAGGCACUACGGUGCUGAAGCAACAAAUGCCCUGCUUCCAGGAAAAGCCUCUAAGCAUCAGGUAACAUCAAAUCGUACCCCAAACCGACACAGGUGGUCAGGUAGAGAAUACCAAGGCGCUUGAGAGAACUCGGGUGAAGGAACUAGGCAAAAUGGUGCCGUAACUUCGGGAGAAGGCACGCUGAUAUGUAGGUGAAGUCCCUCGCGGAUGGAGCUGAAAUCAGUCGAAGAUACCAGCUGGCUGCAACUGUUUAUUAAAAACACAGCACUGUGCAAACACGAAAGUGGACGUAUACGGUGUGACGCCUGCCCGGUGCCGGAAGGUUAAUUGAUGGGGUUAGCGCAAGCGAAGCUCUUGAUCGAAGCCCCGGUAAACGGCGGCCGUAACUAUAACGGUCCUAAGGUAGCGAAAUUCCUUGUCGGGUAAGUUCCGACCUGCACGAAUGGCGUAAUGAUGGCCAGGCUGUCUCCACCCGAGACUCAGUGAAAUUGAACUCGCUGUGAAGAUGCAGUGUACCCGCGGCAAGACGGAAAGACCCCGUGAACCUUUACUAUAGCUUGACACUGAACAUUGAGCCUUGAUGUGUAGGAUAGGUGGGAGGCUUUGAAGUGUGGACGCCAGUCUGCAUGGAGCCGACCUUGAAAUACCACCCUUUAAUGUUUGAUGUUCUAACGUUGACCCGUAAUCCGGGUUGCGGACAGUGUCUGGUGGGUAGUUUGACUGGGGCGGUCUCCUCCUAAAGAGUAACGGAGGAGCACGAAGGUUGGCUAAUCCUGGUCGGACAUCAGGAGGUUAGUGCAAUGGCAUAAGCCAGCUUGACUGCGAGCGUGACGGCGCGAGCAGGUGCGAAAGCAGGUCAUAGUGAUCCGGUGGUUCUGAAUGGAAGGGCCAUCGCUCAACGGAUAAAAGGUACUCCGGGGAUAACAGGCUGAUACCGCCCAAGAGUUCAUAUCGACGGCGGUGUUUGGCACCUCGAUGUCGGCUCAUCACAUCCUGGGGCUGAAGUAGGUCCCAAGGGUAUGGCUGUUCGCCAUUUAAAGUGGUACGCGAGCUGGGUUUAGAACGUCGUGAGACAGUUCGGUCCCUAUCUGCCGUGGGCGCUGGAGAACUGAGGGGGGCUGCUCCUAGUACGAGAGGACCGGAGUGGACGCAUCACUGGUGUUCGGGUUGUCAUGCCAAUGGCACUGCCCGGUAGCUAAAUGCGGAAGAGAUAAGUGCUGAAAGCAUCUAAGCACGAAACUUGCCCCGAGAUGAGUUCUCCCUGACUCCUUGAGAGUCCUGAAGGAACGUUGAAGACGACGACGUUGAUAGGCCGGGUGUGUAAGCGCAGCGAUGCGUUGAGCUAACCGGUACUAAUGAACCGUGAGG
RNAcentral lists this ribosomal RNA (1721 nucleotides) under Escherichia coli. RNAcentral's name for it is "partial 23S ribosomal RNA". It matches the Rfam family "Bacterial large subunit ribosomal RNA", at positions 1216 to 2915 of the family's 2925-position model. The record is from RNAcentral. Lineage: Bacteria; Pseudomonadati; Pseudomonadota; Gammaproteobacteria; Enterobacterales; Enterobacteriaceae.